This 497-nucleotide ribosomal RNA is filed under the name uncultured bacterium. RNAcentral describes it as "partial 16S ribosomal RNA". It matches the Rfam family "Bacterial small subunit ribosomal RNA", at positions 28 to 507 of the family's 1533-position model. The record is from RNAcentral.
GAUGAACGCUGGCGGCGUGCCUAAUACAUGCAAGUCGAGCGAACAGACGAGGAGCUUGCUCCUCUGACGUUAGCGGCGGACGGGUGAGUAACACGUGGAUAACCUACCUAUAAGACUGGGAUAACUUCGGGAAACCGGAGCUAAUACCGGAUAAUAUAUUGAACCGCAUGGUUCAAUAGUGAAAGACGGUUUUGCUGUCACUUAUAGAUGGAUCCGCGCCGCAUUAGCUAGUUGGUAAGGUAACGGCUUACCAAGGCAACGAUGCGUAGCCGACCUGAGAGGGGGAUCGGCCACGCUGGAACUGAGACACGGUCCAGACUCCUACGGGAGGCAGCAGUAGGGAAUCUUCCGCAAUGGGCGAAAGCCUGACGGAGCAACGCCGCGUGAGGGAUGAAGGUCUUCGGAUCGUAAAACUCUGUUAUUAGGGAAGAACAAAUGUGUAAGUAACUAUGCACGUCUUGACGGUACCUAAUCAGAAAGCCACGGCUAACUACGUG